UACGUAGGCAGCAAGCGUUGUUCGGAGUUACUGGGCGUAAAGGGUAUGUAGGCGGCGCUGUUAGUCGGGUGUGAAAUCCCACGGCUCAACCGUGGAACUGCGCCCGAUACUGCAGUGCUUGAGGGAGACAGAGGUAAGCGGAACUGAUGGUGGAGCGGUGAAAUGCGUUGAUAUCAUCAGGAACACCGGUGGCGAAAGCGGCUUACUGGGUCUCUUCUGACGCUGAGAUACGAAAGCUAGGGUAGCGAAGGGG
This 253-nucleotide ribosomal RNA is filed under the name uncultured bacterium. RNAcentral describes it as "partial 16S ribosomal RNA". It matches the Rfam family "Bacterial small subunit ribosomal RNA", at positions 524 to 776 of the family's 1533-position model. The record is from RNAcentral.